UACGGGGGGGGCAAGCGUUGUUCGGAAUUACUGGGCGUAAAGGGCUCGUAGGCGGCCAACUAAGUCAGACGUGAAAUCCCUCGGCUUAACCGGGGAACUGCGUCUGAUACUGGAUGGCUAGAGGUUGGGAGAGGGAUGCGGAAUUCCAGGUGUAACGGUGAAAUGCGUAGAUAUCUGGAGGAACACCGGUGGCGAAGGCGGCAUCCUGGACCAAUUCUGACGCUGAGGAGCGAAAGCCAGGGGAGCAAACGGG
Molecule: ribosomal RNA, 253 nt
Filed under: uncultured bacterium
Lineage: Bacteria
Description: partial 16S ribosomal RNA
Rfam family: Bacterial small subunit ribosomal RNA
Source: RNAcentral